GACGAACGCUGGCGGCGUGCUUAACACAUGCAAGUCGAGCGGAAAGGCCCUUCGGGGUACUCGAGCGGCGAACGGGUGAGUAACACGUGAGUAACCUGUCCUUGGCUUUGGGAUAACCCUCGGAAACGGGGGCUAAUACCGGAUACGACUCUUGCCUGCAUGGGUGGGGGUGGAAAGUUUUUCGGCUAGGGGUGGGCUCGCGGCCUAUCAGCUUGUUGGUGGGGUGAUGGCCUACCAAGGCGACGACGGGUAGCCGGCCUGAGAGGGCGACCGGCCACACUGGGACUGAGACACGGCCCAGACUCCUACGGGAGGCAGCAGUGGGGAAUAUUGCACAAUGGGCGGAAGCCUGAUGCAGCGACGCCGCGUGAGGGAUGACGGCCUUCGGGUUGUAAACCUCUUUCAGCAGGGACGAAGCGCGAGUG
RNAcentral lists this ribosomal RNA (425 nucleotides) under bacterium Ellin5224. RNAcentral describes it as "bacterial SSU rRNA". It matches the Rfam family "Bacterial small subunit ribosomal RNA", at positions 28 to 458 of the family's 1533-position model. Lineage: Bacteria; Bacillati; Actinomycetota; Actinomycetes; Micromonosporales; Micromonosporaceae. The record is from RNAcentral.